Molecule: long non-coding RNA, 1348 nt
Organism: Amphiprion ocellaris (clown anemonefish)
Lineage: Eukaryota; Metazoa; Chordata; Actinopteri; Pomacentridae
Source: Ensembl
UUUUAAUACAAAAGAGAAAAAUAAAUCAGAUUGGAUGGAACAGAAAUCUGGGACUUUACAGUUGUGAUUUAAUGUUUAACAGUUUUUUUGUUUUUUUUCAGUUUUUGGCAUUUGUCAGUAACACUUUGAGGUUGUUUAAAACUCACUUUAUAUUUAAUUAUGAGUCAACAAACACAAACGUGAGAGAACAUAAGGCCACCUUUGACUCAGCAUAAAACAUGAUGCCUUCAUUUCUAAUUCUGUUUGCCUUCUGUCCCACUUUUACUUUGAAAAUUGUGGACAUGAAAAGUAAUUUCACUCUUAAAUGUUUGUUCGUCUUCACCUGAAUCUCAUCCACAGAAAAAACAGUCCAUCAUCGUCGUCGACUCAAAGCUCUCGCCUGGAGGCGAGGUUCUGACCCCGCCAAAAUAAAAGCGCCGUCACUUCCUGGCCUCCUCCACCUCGUCGGUCUCCUUCUCCUGCCGCUCCCGCUCUCGUCUCAUCUCCUUCAGCUCCUGUCGGUAUUUCCGCUCGAUGAAGCGCUUCUGAUGAGCCAUCUGUGGGAAGUUAUCUGGUGCAGGGUGUGGAGAGGCAGAGCGGGAAAACAGAGAAAGUCGACCAAGGAGAACAGAUAAAGAGACACAGAGGCAGAGGUGUGAAGAGACAAGAGUUGCGCUGCACCACCGCCAGGAUUGGACGACAGGAGGUGGGGUUGGCGCAGGAUUGGUCGGGCUGCCGAGGAAAACCAGGAUGACGUUGCCUCUGGGUCAGAGAGGGACAGAUCAGCGGGCCAUCCUCCAUGCCGUCCAGACCGACACAUAUCCAGCACAAUUUGUUUGUUGUAUAGCAGAACAAGAUACUGUAGUGAGCUGCUACUUUUUGUUUUAUUCAUGUUCACCUGUUUGAGUUAGAGAGGGAGGGAAGACUUUGUAUUUAAUUUUGUCCUUUUAUUUUGAUAGGUAAGUCGACCUCCUUAGGACUAGUGUGGUUUUGUUUAUUUUUGGCGUAAAGCUCACCCCUAAUUCAUUUACACCUUACCUUUGACUUGUUUUUGUUAACCUCAACCUUUGCUUUUCGAGACACAUUUAAUGUAAAUUCUUUGAGAAAACGCUGUGUGUGCUGCUUCAGACACAUGUAGUCAGGCACUUCAUGUUGCGUUCAGUAACCCCUAGGCUGGGCUUAACAGUGACAUGUUUGAUUACGUACUAUGAUGUUUUACAUACUAUACUGUGAAUUUUUGUACAUACAUUACUAUGACUUUUUUACUAUGGCCUAAUAUACAAUGAGAUAUUUGUUUCCUGUGAAAAUUGAUUUUACAACAUGUAAAGGACUUGGGUCAAAAUUGAUUGUUUAGCAUGUGAAAUGCAUA